Populus trichocarpa (black cottonwood) is the source of this 147-nucleotide non-coding RNA. The record is from Rfam. NCBI's taxonomy places the organism in Eukaryota, Viridiplantae, Streptophyta, Magnoliopsida, Malpighiales, Salicaceae.
UAAUCUAUUCAGAUCAGAUUCCUAUUUAGUUAUAACAAAUUCAUAUCUAACUUCUUAAAAUCACUCCUUAUCAUAAGGCGAACUAUAUCAAUUUUGCUGCACACCAUAUUUAGUUAAAAAUCUAUAUAUUCUGUCUGUAAUUUCAUU